RNAcentral lists this ribosomal RNA (103 nucleotides) under Caerostris darwini. The record is from RNAcentral. Lineage: Eukaryota; Metazoa; Arthropoda; Arachnida; Araneae; Araneidae.
ACCAUGCUGAAUAUACCGGUUCUCGUUAGAUCACCGAAGUCAAGCAUCAUUGGGCUCGGCCAGUACUUGGGUGGGUGACCACCUGGGAACACCGCGUGCCGUU